GUGGGGAAUAUUGGACAAUGGGCGAAAGCCUGAUCCAGCCAUGCCGCGUGUGUGAAGAAGGUCUUCGGAUUGUAAAGCACUUUAAGUUGGGAGGAAGGGCAGUAAGUUAAUACCUUGCUGUUUUGACGUUACCAACAGAAUAAGCACCGGCUAACUUCGUGCCAGCAGCCGCGGUAAUACGAAGGGUGCAAGCGUUAAUCGGAAUUACUGGGCGUAAAGCGCGCGUAGGUGGUUCAGCAAGUUGGAUGUGAAAGCCCCGGGCUCAACCUGGGAAUUGCAUCCAAAACUACUGAGCUAGAGUACGGUAGAGGGUAGUGGAAUUUCCUGUGUAGCGGUGAAAUGCGUAGAUAUAGGAAGGAACACCAGUGGCGAAGGCGACUACCUGGACUGAUACUGACACUGAGGUGCGAAAGCGUGGGGAGCAAACAGGAUUAGAAACCCGGGUAGUCC
This 450-nucleotide ribosomal RNA is filed under the name uncultured bacterium. RNAcentral describes it as "bacterial SSU rRNA". It matches the Rfam family "Bacterial small subunit ribosomal RNA", at positions 354 to 796 of the family's 1533-position model. The record is from RNAcentral.